This is a long non-coding RNA of Aptenodytes forsteri (emperor penguin), 1087 nucleotides long. RefSeq lists it as uncharacterized. NCBI's taxonomy places the organism in Eukaryota, Metazoa, Chordata, Aves, Sphenisciformes, Spheniscidae. The transcript is spliced from 4 exons. The record is from RefSeq and is a predicted model, not a curated record.
GGUUUGUUAGGCGGGUAGGGGGCUGGAGGUAACAAAAAUACGCGUGAAGAAGCAGUAAUACGUUUCGUUAACCGCCAGCGGGCGGGGCGUGAACGGGAGAGGUGUUCAGGCGGUGCGGAGCUGGUGAUUUGAGAGAAAUCGAGAUGAUGGUUUGUGCCCAGUCACAUCAGGAUGAGGAAUCAGUGUGCAGAGAGCACCGUCUAGAAAUCCAGAUGAUUGAAAUAGGGAUCCCAGCUGCUCAGUAAUGUCUUGAAGCUUUGUGUUCUCUUUCUGAGCAAUCCUCUGGAAAUUAUGGAACCCGGAGAAGAGCCUGCUAAGAAAAAGCAGUCACCUGAUUUCCUCUGAAGAUCACAUGUGAAGAGAAACUAGAGAUGCUGAAUGAAAUACCUGUUACUUAAUGAAAACAAAGAUAAAGAUGGAUAGGAGCUUAGGGCCAACAGAUGAGAAAAUUCCUUGGAGGUGUCAGUUCACUCAGAACAUUUUAAUACAAAUGUCCCCAGCUGAAGCAGCUGCAGGUAAGAGCUAGAAUGGAAAAGAAACUCUCUAACUGAAUUAUUACCCUAGAGCUGUAACAGUGGACGUGUUCAGUGUAAAUACAGAACUAAAACUGAACUGCAUCAUGAGAUGUGCUAAACCCAGCGUGAGUGUUUACUACCAAAACACUUGCAGCGGGGACUGAAAUGCAGGAUCUUUGUCAAGUGAAAGACAGGCCAUUCCUUCCAGACAUUUUCCUCAGUUUUCCUUCCCUGUGAUUCUGUGGAAGAAGACAUGUAUUCUAGGAAAGAAACAGGCUGAAUUAUACAUGUAGGUUAAUUUUUUUCUUUUGUUCCACUGUUCUUAACUAUCAGUUCCCACUUGAGAGCAAGUACUCCAUCAGGCUGGUGUGUUACGCCUUGGGGAGUGUCCCAGGUUCACUCUGUAUUGCUUUUCAGUUACAGGAGCGCAUAGUUCAACUUCAUUAUCUACUCUACAUCUGUUAUUUUGUAUUAAAGCUAUAUUCCUUCCCCCUUCAAGAACAGCAGUCCCAUUAAAAUGACAUUUAAACUGGCUGUUUGCGGCUUAAAAUUUUGUUAGAUAGGGUUAAUAA